UUUACAAGAUGCGGCUUGUAUAACCGCCUCUUCCAAACCCUAGUUCCACCUCUUCGCAUCGCAUCCCCUUCCCCUCCGCUCCCCAAAACCCUCGCCUUUUCCGUUUCUUCAAAACCCUAGCCAUGGUGAAGAAGAAGAAGGAGAAGCAGGUCAACGUCUCGGGGAAGCCGAAGCACUCGCUCGACGUGAACCGCAGCAAUGGCGGAGGCGACAAGGGAGUCCGCUCCGCGGCCACGGUGCGGCGGCUCA
RNAcentral lists this long non-coding RNA (249 nucleotides) under Ananas comosus (pineapple). RNAcentral describes it as "long non-coding RNA (ACOM_LNC031975)". Lineage: Eukaryota; Viridiplantae; Streptophyta; Magnoliopsida; Poales; Bromeliaceae. The record is from RNAcentral.